Cyanistes caeruleus (blue tit) is the source of this 2892-nucleotide non-coding RNA. Lineage: Eukaryota; Metazoa; Chordata; Aves; Passeriformes; Paridae. The record is from RefSeq and is a predicted model, not a curated record.
GUCUUUGACAUAGGUUAGUCAGUACAUCUGAAAUAAGAAUUUUAAAUGGGAAAAAAAUAAAAAGCCCAGAGGAUUUGAAGAUUAUCUUCAGCUUUUUGGUGUGAUCCUGCAGCAGUUCUCACAUCUCUCAUUUGACAGCACUGUUAUAAACAAUGAUGAAUCUCUUAAUUUUAGAGUUGUCAAGAAAGGUCUCCAUUUUCUUAGUUAGUUUCCUUUUUAAUUUUUCUACAUUCACAUCAAGAAUAGCAGGAGAGUCUGAUCUGGCAUGGACACUGUCAUUCUUUCAGGUAGGCUGAUGGUCUCGGUGUGACUAGGGCUGUGGAUACAGCUGUUUGGGAAGGAAAGCUUAUGCAGGCACCAGCACUUUAGUCCCCUCCCAGGGGACAGAUCAUCUGUAUUAGCCGAGCAUCUGUCCUUGAUAGAAAUAAACAGUUAACCCAAAUGACAAACCCAAAUGACAGUCACAUGCCUGAACACCUUUUGGAUGACCUAAUUCCUGUACACAUGACUCUUCUACUAGAUGGGCGAACUAUUCUUUACUAUCUCCCUGCAUUGAUGUGCACUAGAUGUGUCCCAGAGAGGAGUGAGGAGGCCUUUUACACAAAACAGGAUAAGACAUCUAAUAGACAGCCAUUUCAACACAGUAUUACUGUUUUUACUGUAUCUGAAAAUGAAUAAUGAUAUUAUAAAGUAUGUUAGCACUGAAAGACUGAGACUGCAGUCAUGGGAAACGUGUAUGCUCUUAUUAUGGUUUUUCUUAGAUAAUUCCACAAUAGUUCUCUGAAAUACUCUCUAGAGCUUCAGUUUGAUCAUAUUUAUGUUUUUCCAUGGGUUUUUUUAUGUUUUUCCAUGUUUGGUUUUUUUUUUUAUUUCUAAGAAGGCUGCAGAUUAACAACUCUGGUCUUACUCAUCACUACCAAAUAUAUUUUCUGUCCUCUGCAAACCCUGUGAUGACCUCCACAGUAAUGCAAACAUCUCCACUGCAAUUACUCAAAUCCUAUUACCCCUUUGGUGAAUUAAAUAUUUACUGUGUUUAGAUGUCAGCUUUAAAAUUGCUACAGCUCUCCCACUCUGCUUCUGAAGACAGGAGAAGUAUCUAACAUUAGAAACAAAACAGGGUUAAUUUAUCAUCAAGUACAACUUAAUGUACUUAAGUACAUACUUACUAGUACUCUACUUGAUAUUUAUUAGUCCUUGCCUUGAGCAGGAGAUAGAUUUGUGGGUGAAGAUCUGCCCUUAAGCUGACAUGCCUUCCUGGUUAAUACUGCAGGACACCCUAGGGGAUAUCUCCACUCUAAUCUGUGUGUGUGUGCUCAGCAUCUCCUGUUAUUCACUGGAUCAGUGCAAUCUAGCUGGCUCAUUACCUUGUCAUGGCAGGGAAAAUAUUCAGAGCAUUGACUUCUUUUUACCGUACCUUUGAUCCAUGAAAGUGGGAAGUGGGAAAUGUGUCAAGAAAAGAACAAGUUGACACCAAGUUUUUAAAAUAAAAUCAAGUAACAGAAUUUUCUUGAGAUUUUAACAAAUCUGCCAGCCUUGCAUAAAACUGUCAGUUUCUUACAGAGUCUUCCUCAGUAAUGAUACUAGAUUAAUAAAAUGAGAAUAAAUGGCAGAGCCCUAGCAAUCCAUCCAGAGCUUAGUCAGUAAGGAGUUUUUGCUUCAGCAAUCAAGGUUUAGCUGUCAAAAGACCUUUGUCUCUUUUGUCAAAACUUGUGAGUAUUAAAUUGACUGAAGAUAACUGAAACUAGUCAUCGACCUGAAAAGUCUUGCUCCAACACCUUGACACGCUGAAUGCUGAGUACCACUGUUAUCUGUGAGAAUAAAAUACCUGGAAAAAUAAUCUUAAAAAACGAUCAAUUCUUUUAUCUUUACUGUUAAAAAGAUUGGCAUGAUGUGAGGCAUCUGAUUAAGAUAUAUUCCACAUCACCAGCAAGCUAUUUGCACCCACGUUAGAAUAGCUGUGGAGAAUUAGGUCUCUUCAUCACAGAUGAGGUCAGAACAACUGAUGGUCAUUAGUCCAAGUACAGGUCAGACCAGUCUACUUACACCAUUUACAAAGGGAAACAAUUGUUUUAAUUCCAGCAGAAACUUGUGGCUUUGCAAAGAUCCAUUUUUAGAAACAGCUUUGAUUGCUCUUCUUGAUACUUAGCAACACGACACAAAACUAGCAGUUGCAGCCACUGGAUAGGUUUCUGACAAAGCUCUUUGUGACAAAAAGCAGUAAGAGUACCCAACAACUCAGACACUGACAAAUCAAUGCUUUUCAACAGCCUCCUGCAGAGCAGAAACUAAGGUGAACCCAGGAGAAGUUAGAGACCUUGACAGGUGAUCCUGUCAGCAAAGUUUAGUAAACCUUGUGCCUUGUGACAAAUACAUUUACCAGCUGGAUGGAGCAUAUUUGCAGUGUGCUCUCUAUGGAGAUGCUGUCUCUGUGAAUUACUGUGGUGCAGACGAAAAACAUCUGGCAUUCCCUUCUGAGGAAAGAGGAAUUACAGUGAUUCCAGAUUACUGCUCUAUUUUAAAGAGGGCGGUGUGGCCCAGUGGGCUGGAACACAAGAGAUGGAUUCUCUACCAGAUUUUAUGACAGAAAAGAAGUGCAGCUUUUGAAUCCUGGUACAUUGAAUUAGUCAUUGGUUCAUUUUACCAUGCUGUGAGAAGUGCAAGCAGAGUCACUGACAGCUGUUCUCCUGAAGUGUUCUGUACUAAAAGAUGAUUGGUGCACAUUCAACGUUUGGAGUCUUGGCAUCAUAUGCAGUUACAGAAAUGGUAAUGGAAAAGUUUCAAGAACAGCAAUGAUGUAGUGCAAUGGUUCUCGUCCCUAAUUAGGAUAGAUUCAAUAAGGUGAAGUGCUGAAUCCUGUCCCUGGGUCACAAGAAUCCCAUGCAGUGCUACAAG